ACGCACGCUGGCGGCGUGCUUCACACAUGCAAGUCGUACGGUAAGGCCCUUUCGGGGGUCCACGAGUGGCGAACGGGUGAGUAACACGUGAGUAACCUGCCCACAACUUUGGGAUAACGCUAGGAAACUGGUGCUAAUACUGGAUAUGUGCUCCUGCUGCAUGGUGGGGGUUGGAAAGCUCCGGCGGUUGUGGAUGGACUCGCGGCCUAUCAGCUUGUUGGUGGGGUAGUGGCCUACCAAGGCGGCGACGGGUAGCCGGCCUGAGAGGGUGACCGGCCACAGUGGGACUGAGAUACGGCCCAGACUCCUACGGGAGGCAGCAGUGGGGAAUAUUGCACAAUGGGCGCAAGCCGGAUGCAGCAACGCCGCGGGCGGGAGGACGGCCUUCGGGUUGUAAACCGCUUUCAGCAGGGACGAAGCUUUUUGUGACGGUACCUGCAGAAGAAGCACCGGCUAACUACGUG
Molecule: ribosomal RNA, 464 nt
Filed under: uncultured bacterium
Lineage: Bacteria
Description: partial 16S ribosomal RNA
Rfam family: Bacterial small subunit ribosomal RNA
Source: RNAcentral